Molecule: long non-coding RNA, 957 nt
Organism: Oreochromis aureus
Lineage: Eukaryota; Metazoa; Chordata; Actinopteri; Cichliformes; Cichlidae
Source: Ensembl
CCAAGCAGCACUGCUCUUCACUCAGCUAUUAGUGGUGUGGCAUGUCUUUGCAGAGUUUGUUGAGAAAGGACACAGAGGUGUGAUGGUGAUCACAGGAGAUUCUGUGACCCUGACUUGCAACAUAUCUGAGGAAAAUGCAACACAAAUCUCCUGGACCAACGGCAGAUCUGUUUUUCAACAUUCAAUUGUGCUGAAUCGCACCUUUUCAAAUUUCUCAUUUUACAAACUGAAAAUAAACCAUCAGUUACCUCCAGAGAUAACUGUUUUUAGUGCUCAAGCUGAGGAUGAAGGACUUUAUACAUGUAGCAUAACUGGCAAAGAUGGCCUACACAGCAUUACGUGGAAUUUAACUGUGUCUGAGAAGCCCAAAAAAUCCAUUUCAAAGUAUUUUCUAUCCAUACUAUCACCUGCAAUUGGAUUCAUUCUAUGUGGCAUCAUGUUGGCUGUUUUCCUCUGCAGAAAGGUAUGACGAGGACACUGAAUCAGGAUCCAGUCGAGGAUCAAUUUCCUCCUGAGUCCGAAGAGGGUACCACUGCUCAUUUGAAAAAUAACACAUGGAGGAGUCAAUAUACAGAGUUGCAGAAUUCAAUCUAUGGUCACUUCUGAGCUGACGAGACAUCCACAUAUACAGUUACACCGAGACUUGGACAUUUUUCUGUUUCAAAGCAGGAACUGCAAGGGAACACAAUCAGAGGGAGGACAACACUGCUACUGUAGCCUCUUCAGGCCAAGGGCCCACCUCUGGCUUCGAGCAUGGCAGUUUCAAUCAUUCACAUCCCUGUUUUUAGAAGAAGCGGGCAAUUAGAAGAAAGUUUGCAUUAUAGGAAGGAGGACAGGACCUUGCUGCCCACUUCUCCGCACACUGUCUUCUCCUUGCUUUGGUUUACCAACUCCUUAUCCCACCAAUGGCAGCUCUGUCAUCUCUGCUUCUCACAUACACCUCUGACUUAUUCUCCC